RNAcentral lists this ribosomal RNA (406 nucleotides) under uncultured bacterium. RNAcentral describes it as "partial 16S ribosomal RNA". It matches the Rfam family "Bacterial small subunit ribosomal RNA", at positions 30 to 526 of the family's 1533-position model. The record is from RNAcentral.
AUUGCACGCUGGCGGCAGGCCUAACACAUGCAAGUCGAACGAGUGGCGGACGGGUGAGUAAUGUCUGGGAAACUGCCCGAUGGAGGGGGAUCACUACUGGAAACGGUAGCUAAUACCGCAUACUAUCGGAUGUGCCCAGAUGGGAUUCGCUAGUAGGUGGGGUAACGGCUCACCUAGGCGACGAUCCCUAGCUGGUCUGAGAGGAUGACCAGCCACACUGGAACGGAGACACGGCCCAGACGCCUACGGGAGGCAGCAGGGGGGAAUAUUGCACAAUGGGCGCAAGCCUGAUGCAGCCAUGCCGCGUGUAUGAAGAAGGCCUUCGGGUUGUAAAGUACUUUCAGCGGGGAGGCGUUACUCGCAGAAGAAGCACCGGCUAACUCCGUGCCAGCAGCCGCGGUAAUUC